UCGCUGCUACCGAUUGGAUGAUCCGGUGAAAUUUUCGGACUGUCGCGUGUCGUGCCGUUCGCGGCGCGCUCACGAUGGGAAGUUACUUGAACCUUAUUAUCUAGAGGAAGCAA
Molecule: ribosomal RNA, 113 nt
Filed under: uncultured eukaryote
Lineage: Eukaryota
Description: partial small subunit ribosomal RNA
Rfam family: Eukaryotic small subunit ribosomal RNA
Source: RNAcentral